This 1186-nucleotide long non-coding RNA is filed under the name Olea europaea subsp. europaea. Lineage: Eukaryota; Viridiplantae; Streptophyta; Magnoliopsida; Lamiales; Oleaceae. The record is from RNAcentral.
GAUGUGAUAAAGCCAUGCAGCCAUGCAAGUAGCAAAUAAUGUCAAGUCACGUGCUGGAGUCAAGUUUGUUUCUGAGUUUGUUAUUCUGUUUCAGGUUGUUAGUGAAUAAGUCCAAGUGGAUAAGUCUUGCUGAUUCUUUUUCCUAAAUCCGUAGCUUAAUUUUUGCAUUAUUGUUAUCAUUUUGAAGGCUAUAAAUAGCCUCGACAUGUUCAAUAAAAAGGUGUGAAAUAUCUAUUCAAGCUUCCUUAAUAUUCUUCUUCUGCUUCCUGUUUAAAUCCUUAUCUUCUUCUGCUUCCUGUUUACAUCUUUAUCAGUGGUAUCAGAGCCGGUUCUAAUUAUGGACACUCGUGGCAAAACCAAUGCGGAAUUUCGCAAUGAGGUGAAUGAAUCCUUGGCUCGACAUGAGUCCAAUUUCGACCAAAUCAAUAUGGCUCUACGAACUGUAUUAACUGAGUUACAGGCUUUAAAGGUCUCUAACACAACACACACUAGUCCAACUGAUGUUAACCCAUUUUACCCAGGUGAAACCUCACACUCUCCAAAUGCUCUGCGGCCUAAAACCCCUAAUGACAAUUAUCACCAGCAUAUCAAGCUGCUCUUUCCUAAGUUCAACGGCGAGGAUCCAAGUGGCUGGGUUUACAAGGCGGAACAAUACUUUGAGUUUCAAAACAUUGCUUGCGACCAAUAAGUGCAGUUGGCUUCUUUCCAUCUAGAGGGCAUUGCUUUACAGUGGCACCGGUGGUUGACAAAAUUUUGCGGACCACUCACUUGGGCGGAGUUUACCAAGGUAGUCCUUCUUCGUUUUGGCCCCACAGAUUAUGAGGAUCCAUCUGAGGCUUUAACUCGGCUUAGACAAACUACCAAUGUGGCUGAAUAUCAGGAAGCUUUCGAAAAGCUUUCCCACCGAGUUGAUGGCCUGCCUGAAACAUUUCUUAUUGGUUGUUUUAUUGUGGGACUUCGAGACGAUAUUCGCAUAGAUGUAAAAAUCAAACAACCUAGCACCUUGGCUGAUGCAAUAGGAGUUGCCCGAUUAAUUGAAGAACGAAAUCAAUUACAGAAGAAAACAAACCAACCAAUUCGUUCCUAACCAGCCAUAAUGGCACCCAAGACGAGCCUCAACCAAACAGCCGGCAUACUUGGCCCUCCACCUAGCCAGCGUGGGAACCCAAACUCAAAUAUGACUCUG